UGGGGAAUAUUGCACAAUGGGCGCAAGCCUGAUGCAGCCAUGCCGCGUGUGUGAAGAAGGCCUUCGGUUGUAAAGCACUUUCAGCGAGGAGGAAGGUGGUGAGCUUAAUACGCUCAUCAAUUGACGUUACUCGCAGAAGAAGCACCGGCUAACUCCGUGCCAGCAGCCGCGGUAAUACGGAGGGUGCAAGCGUUAAUCGGAAUUACUGGGCGUAAAGCGCACGCAGGCGGUUUGUUAAGUCAGAUGUGAAAUCCCCGGGCUCAACCUGGGAACUGCAUUUGAAACUGGCAAGCUAGAGUCUCGUAGAGGGGGGUAGAAUUUCCAGGUGUAGCGGUGAAAUGCGUAGAGAUCUGGAGGAAUACCGGUGGCGAAGGCGGCCCCCCUGGANGAAGACUGACGCUCAGGUGCGAAAAGCGUGGGGGAGCAAAACAGGUUAGNUACCCUGGUAGUCACGCUGU
Molecule: ribosomal RNA, 458 nt
Filed under: uncultured bacterium
Lineage: Bacteria
Description: partial 16S ribosomal RNA
Rfam family: Bacterial small subunit ribosomal RNA
Source: RNAcentral